GAAUUGAUCAAUCAUAAAUGAAUAAAUAAUAAAUAUUCAAACAGAGAUUCAGAUAUCAGAGAUUUAAGAGUCCAGAUAAGGCUUUCCAGUUAAUAACCAAUUGAUGAAUGUUCACUAUUCACCAUAAUCUCUGGUUAAUUGAACUUUGAAAGCUUGAGUACAAGUGCAAAACAUUGGAUUAUUUGAGAAAUUCGCCAAUUACGGUGGUUCCGCCAUUGUUUAGUCAAAAAUACAGGUGAGCUAAUUAGGAUUUAGGUUUAGUGGAGUUUGAUUUAAUAAUUUCAUCCAAGUUCCUAAACUCUAAAAAACUCUAGACACGUAUUGCAUCAAUAACCCAUAUCAAUAUAUUUGAAUACAUAAACAAAGACGAGCUUCUAUUAGAUCUUGGAAAUCUUCACAUGAUCUAAUGAGGCUUGACAUCAUGUGAAUCUAGUCCUACCUGUCUAUAUAAAAGUAUGCUCUACGAUCUACAUUAAAUGUCAGAGAUCCUACCCCAGCUGUCUAUUAGUGUAAAUAUAGUUUCACAAUAUCUGUAAUUAGCUUAUAAUUAGUGGUAUGUUUGUAAUACUUCCUUAGCUAGUUAGUGUAGUAGAAUAACUGAAUUAAUUAUUCUGUAAUAUUAUAUAAGACUACCUAUGGCUAAUGGAAAAAGGAUCGAGUCAUCUCUCCCGAUAUUUACAUCUUGUGUUCUAAUACUGCCAAGAAUCAAAGACUCUUUGGGCAAGUAAGUACUUGAAGGCAAUCUACAAGACCGUAUCCAGAACAGAAGUGAUUCAGAGACCAUUUACUCCCCAUUUUAUCAAUUGAACUUUCUCUGCAUAUGAAAGACCAUUGAAAUCGAAGACCAACAGUUCUUUUAGGGAUUUAAAAAAUGAAGGUAGAUAUACAAUUAUACACUCCAUUGGAUUUUAUUCAAUGCAAUCAAUUUUUCCACUUAAUUCGCAAUUGAUUCAAAAUCAUUUUGAAAUCGUCAAUCAUCAUAAAAAAAAUCAAACAUGUGAAAACUAGAAAACUUAAUACGCACUUUUCUCAUGAACAUCUUAAACUCCCCGAUCCAUCUAUAUUUUAUACUCCAACUCCAAUUGGCUCCAUAUAUAUUCCAAAUCACUCUGAAGCAUUUUAAAACAUAUAUAAAAACUGUUUUUUCAAACAGAUUAAGGCUUCCAACAGGAAACCCUUCUUCCUCCAAAAGCCAGGCUUCAUCCUGACGAGCUAUGACCUCCGAUGUGCUUCCCCAGCGAGCUCAGGCAACCUUCGAUGAACAGUAUUUUCAGCUAAGAACAGUGUUCUUGAAGGGUUUUUUUAAGAUUAAGUUUUUAAGAGUUUUAGGUGUUUAAAAUCUAAGUCACAGAUACUUUUACAUAAUUGUAUUUAAAGUAGAAUAUUGUAAAUUUUGUUUUAGGGAAAACGCUAUAGCUGCUAUCCUCUAUUUAGAAGUAUGCUCUGAAGUUUGAAAUGAACACACACAUAACAAGUUCCAAAAAAGACAGAAAAAACCUAACUUUCUAAAACUCAAUAGCUUAAAAAUAUGAAUGCAUUUUCGAUUUCACAAGAAGUCAGGAUAAGGUUUGCUAGUUGUUAACCAAUGAACUGAUGUUCGCAAUUCUUUUUCGAAAUCUUGAGAAUAUUUAUAAGGUAGUAUAAAGUAGUGUAAAUAAGUUUAUUGAAAAAAUUACCAA
Molecule: long non-coding RNA, 1679 nt
Filed under: Zostera marina
Lineage: Eukaryota; Viridiplantae; Streptophyta; Magnoliopsida; Alismatales; Zosteraceae
Description: long non-coding RNA (ZMAR_LNC000468)
Source: RNAcentral